GAUGAACGCUGGCGGCGUGCCUAAUACAUGCAAGUCGAGCGAACGGACGAGAAGCUUGCUUCUCUGAUGUUAGCGGCGGACGGGUGAGUAACACGUGGAUAACCUACCUAUAAGACUGGGAUAACUUCGGGAAACCGUAGCUAAGACCGGAUAAUAUUUUGAACCGCAUGGUUCAAAAGUUAAAGACGGUCUUGCUGUCACUUAUAGAUGGAUCCGCGCUGCAUUCGCUAGUUGGUAAGGUAACGGCUUAACAAGGCAACGAUGCAUAGCCGACCUGAGAGGGUGAUUGGACACCCUGGAAGUGAGAAACGGUCCCCACUCCUACGGGAGGAAGCAGCAGGGAAUCUUCCGCAAUGGGCGAAAGCGUGACGUAGCACCGCGGCGUGAGUGCUGAACGUCUUCGGCUCGUAAAGUUAUGUUAUUAGGGAAGAACAUAUGUGCAAGUAACUGUGCACAUAUUGACGGUACCUAAUCAGAAAGCCACGGCUAACUCCGCG
RNAcentral lists this ribosomal RNA (497 nucleotides) under uncultured bacterium. RNAcentral's name for it is "partial 16S ribosomal RNA". It matches the Rfam family "Bacterial small subunit ribosomal RNA", at positions 28 to 507 of the family's 1533-position model. The record is from RNAcentral.